Molecule: transfer RNA, 81 nt
Filed under: Theobroma cacao (cacao)
Lineage: Eukaryota; Viridiplantae; Streptophyta; Magnoliopsida; Malvales; Malvaceae
Rfam family: tRNA
About the family: Transfer RNA (tRNA) molecules are approximately 80 nucleotides in length. Their secondary structure includes four short double-helical elements and three loops (D, anti-codon, and T loops).
Source: Rfam by way of RNAcentral
GUUGAGAUGGUCGAGUUGGUCUAAGGAGCUAGAUUAAGGUUUUUGUUCGAAAGAACGUGGGUUCAAAUUCCAUUCUCAACA